This 689-nucleotide long non-coding RNA is filed under the name Carassius auratus (goldfish). RNAcentral describes it as "lncRNA (ENSCARG00000004379.1)". The record is from RNAcentral. Lineage: Eukaryota; Metazoa; Chordata; Actinopteri; Cypriniformes; Cyprinidae.
ACAGAGAAAACAGCACUUUGGCCUUCACAGAGACUGGAAGAGACAAGUGCCUGUGGCGUUGUGUUUGGACACACCCACGGAGUGGACUCUGUUCGGCCGAAAGAAAAGGUCACAGAAAUGUCAUGCAGUCAUGUCCUUGAGACGAGGUGGAAGAGAUGCGAUUGGGCCCGGACCCGUCAUCAUCAAGGAGACAGGUGGCCAAGGAGGAAUCGGUCACUAAUGCGGUCGGCUAACUGUGUCAAGGACGUAGAACCCAAACCUGGUACAGUUCACCUGUGAGAGACCUGAGAGCACGAACGCAGAGAGGAACUGACCCACUAAACCAACUUACAACUCUACAGUCUGCACUCUUCUUGAAAUUAAAGAAGACUUUAUUUCUGUCCCUCCCUACUGUUCUCUUUCCAUUCGGGGACAUUGCAGAGCCUUGGGAACGGUUUCCAUAGCGACCAUAACUGCAGACAAGGAGAGUGUGCUGAGACAGGGAUGUGAACGCACUGGCACUCUCAUCUCAUCUCAUGUGGAGUGCAGGCCCGCCUCCUUCCAUACCUCUCAUUUGGAAAAUGUGCUGCUAUAUAUUUUUUUUUUUUUUUUUUUGAGCUAUUUAUUUAUUUAUUUUUCACAUGGUUCAUUGCAAACUUACUGCACUGCUGGUUGCAAUUAAAUCAAAUGUUACUUUUAAAGACUUUUUU